ACGGCAAAGUUGGGCCCUCGAGGUGUUUUGGACUUGAACUCCCGCCAUUCCUAACAACCUCAGGCUCUUUCCUUUCCCCCCUUAGCCGCUUAAGCUUUCAUGGCCUUGCUGAGAGAAUUCCCCUAGGCAGGAAGCAGCCAGGCUUUGAAGCUGCACGGCUUUUCAAUGCUAAUCAAGGUGACCAAUUGCGCCAUUCACACUUUCCUCCAACAGACAAGAGUUGGGUACCUCAUACCUCACAACCUCUGAGGAUGCCUGCCAUAGAUGUGGGCGAAACGUCAGGAGAGAAUACUUCUGGAACAUGGCCAUACAGCCCGGAAAACAUACAACAACCCUGUGAUCCCAGCCAUGAAAGCCUUCGACAAGACAAGAGUUCUUUCUCUCCACAGAUAUGUAAACCCCACUUGCCUAGUUUUCCAACAAACUUCACAGCCUCAGAGAAUGCCAACCAUAGAUGUGGGUGAAACGUCAGGAGAGAAUGCUUCUGGAACAUGGCCAUACAGCCCGAAAAACGCAGGGCAAAUGAAUAUUUAGGCUACUUUAAGUAAGAUUUUUGGAUAAACAUUGUACUGACGUGGCAGCUGUCCUGACAUGCAUCUGAUGUUAGAAGUAAUAAAUCCCACAUCUCGUCCUGAGGCACAAAGUCGAGGAUUCCAAAGGAUGGUCCCUUGGCAAAUAAGGUGGGAUCAAACUUCUAUAAAUGUACAGUAUGGAUAGCCUCCCUAGAGUAUUUCCCAGCAUCUUAUAGCACAUAAAGAUUCCAGGGUAGAUAUACAGGAGUUUCUGUUUUCUAAUUUAUGUAUCUAUUUCUUCA
Anolis carolinensis (green anole) is the source of this 814-nucleotide long non-coding RNA. RefSeq lists it as uncharacterized. The record is from RefSeq and is a predicted model, not a curated record. Lineage: Eukaryota; Metazoa; Chordata; Lepidosauria; Squamata; Anolidae. The transcript is spliced from 3 exons.